Molecule: long non-coding RNA, 450 nt
Organism: Carassius auratus (goldfish)
Lineage: Eukaryota; Metazoa; Chordata; Actinopteri; Cypriniformes; Cyprinidae
Exons: 4
Source: RefSeq, a predicted model, not a curated record
GGUAAUGGUUGAUUGAUGGCAAAAGGAGUGAAACACAUCUAAGAAGAUGAAUAAAAUCAAGUGAGCCACAGAGAUGGCAUCGUCCAAGAGCACAGGCAUGUAUUUUUCUUUUUUCUGCAUUGGGAGUUCAUCCAGAGGCAGUGAGUGAACUUUGUGUCCUGAAACCAGAAUCAGUUGGGAAGAAUGGAACCAAGUCUACCCAAUUAAAAGGCUUACACAGGUCCCCUUCCAGAUGCUGAUGUCUUGGCUUCUGGUGCAAAACUACGUCAGAUUAAUCCCAAGCCUUUGCUGCCGCACAUACUUGAGGGCAUGUCAAAAGUAGAGUUGUACCUCUUGGCAGUCCACUUUCAUACCAGUGUCCCCGUAUAGCUGCAGGUGUUCCUGAUCUUAAUUUCCCCCCACUACCUGUGCUUGGUUUUCAGUUUGGCUGUAAUUUUAAAUUUGUCCAGA